Small nuclear RNA from Solanum verrucosum, 103 nucleotides. Lineage: Eukaryota; Viridiplantae; Streptophyta; Magnoliopsida; Solanales; Solanaceae. The record is from RefSeq and is a predicted model, not a curated record.
GUCUUGCACUUCUGGGGACAUCCAGUUUAUUGGAACGAUAUAGAGAAGAUUAACAAGGUCUCUGCUCUUGACAUGCACAAAUCGUGAAAUGGUUCAAUUUUUU